This 71-nucleotide transfer RNA is filed under the name Marmota monax (woodchuck). RNAcentral describes it as "tRNA.Ala". It matches the Rfam family "tRNA". Rfam says of the family: Transfer RNA (tRNA) molecules are approximately 80 nucleotides in length. Lineage: Eukaryota; Metazoa; Chordata; Mammalia; Rodentia; Sciuridae. The record is from RNAcentral.
GGGGUUGUGGUUCAGUGGUAGAACACUCCCCUAGCAAGUGGGAGGCCCUGGGUUCGAUCCUCAGCACCACA